GCCAGAGGGUGCAAACGUUGUUCGGAAUUACUGGGCGUAAAGCGCGUGUAGGCGGCUGCGCAAGUCGGAUGUGAAAUCCCGUGGCUCAACCACGGAAGUGCACCCGAAACUGCGUAGCUCGAGUCUCGGAGAGGAAGGUGGAAUGCUUGGUGUAGAGGUGAAAUUCGUAGAUAUCAAGCGGAACACCGGUGGCGAAGGCGGCCUUCUGGACGAUGACUGACGCUGAGACGCGAAAGCGUGGGGAGCAAACAGG
This 253-nucleotide ribosomal RNA is filed under the name uncultured bacterium. RNAcentral's name for it is "partial 16S ribosomal RNA". It matches the Rfam family "Bacterial small subunit ribosomal RNA", at positions 524 to 776 of the family's 1533-position model. The record is from RNAcentral.